Molecule: ribosomal RNA, 459 nt
Filed under: uncultured bacterium
Lineage: Bacteria
Description: partial 16S ribosomal RNA
Rfam family: Bacterial small subunit ribosomal RNA
Source: RNAcentral
CCUACGGGCGGCAGCAGUGAGGAAUAUUGGUCAAUGGCCGAGAGGCUGAACCAGCCAAGUCGCGUGAGGGAAGACGGCCCUACGGGUUGUAAACCUCUUUUGUCGGGGAGCAAAGCGAGUCACGUGUGACUCAUUGAGAGUACACGAAGAAAAAGCAUCGGCUAACUCCGUGCCAGCAGCCGCGGUAAUACGGAGGAUGCGAGCGUUAUCCGGAUUUAUUGGGUUUAAAGGGUGCGCAGGCGGAGGUGCAAGUCAGCGGUAAAAUUGCGGGGCUCAACACCGUACUGCCGUUGAAACUGCAUCCCUUGAGUGCGCGAGAAGUAUGCGGAAGGCGUGGUGUAGCGGUGAAAUGCAUAGAGAUCACGCAGAACGCCGAUUGCGAAGGCAGCAUACCGGCGCGCAACUGACGCUCAUGCGCGAAAGCGUGGGUAUCGAACAGGAUUAGAUACCCGGGUAGUC